RNAcentral lists this ribosomal RNA (377 nucleotides) under uncultured bacterium. RNAcentral's name for it is "bacterial SSU rRNA". It matches the Rfam family "Bacterial small subunit ribosomal RNA", at positions 521 to 896 of the family's 1533-position model. The record is from RNAcentral.
UAAUACGAGGGGUGCUAGCGUUGUCCGGAAUCAUUGGGCGUAAAGGGUCCGUAGGCGGUUUGAUAAGUCAAUUGUUAAAUACAUCGGCUUAACCGGUGGAAUGCAGUUGAAACUGUCAGAAUAGAGUUUAGGAGAGGAAAGUGGAAUUUCUGGUGUAGCGGUGACAUGCGUAGAUAUCAGAAGGAACACCAAUGGCGAAGGCAACUUUCUGGCCUGAAACUGACGCUGAGGGACGAAAGCGUGGGGAGCGAACAGGAUUAGAUACCCUGGUAGUCCACGCCGUAAACGAUGAGUACUUGUUGUCGGGAGAUUCGACCCUCUCGGUAGCGGAGCUAACGCGUUAAGUACUCCGCCUGGGUACUACGACCGCAAGGUUG